UCCGGAGGAGGCAAUCGUUAUCCGGAAUUAUUGGGCGUAAAGCGUCCGUAGGUGGUUGGCCAAGUCUGCUGUCAAAGGGUGGGGCUUAACCUCAUAAAGGCAGUGGAAACUGGCGAGCUAGAGUGCGGUAGGGGUAGGGGGAAUUCCCAGUGUAGCGGUGAAAUGCGUAGAGAUUGGGAAGAACAUCGGUGGCGAAAGCGCCCUGCUGGGCCUGCACUGACACUGAGGGACGAAAGCUAGGGGAGAGAAAGGG
RNAcentral lists this ribosomal RNA (253 nucleotides) under uncultured bacterium. RNAcentral describes it as "partial 16S ribosomal RNA". It matches the Rfam family "Bacterial small subunit ribosomal RNA", at positions 524 to 776 of the family's 1533-position model. The record is from RNAcentral.